GGAAUCUUCCACAAUGGACGAAAGUCUGAUGGAGCAACGCCGCGUGAGUGAAGAAGGUUUUCGGAUCGUAAAACUCUGUUGUUGGAGAAGAACGUAUUUGAUAGUAACUGAUCAGGUAGUGACGGUAUCCAACCAGAAAGCCACGGCUAACUACGUGCCAGCAGCCGCGGUAAUACGUAGGUGGCAAGCGUUGUCCGGAUUUAUUGGGCGUAAAGCGAGCGCAGGCGGUUUCUUAAGUCUGAUGUGAAAGCCUUCGGCUCAACCGAAGAAGUGCAUCGGAAACUGGGAAACUUGAGUGCAGAAGAGGACAGUGGAACUCCAUGUGUAGCGGUGAAAUGCGUAGAUAUAUGGAAGAACACCAGUGGCGAAGGCGGCUGUCUGGUCUGUAACUGACGCUGAGGCUCGAAAGCAUGGGUAGCAAACA
Molecule: ribosomal RNA, 424 nt
Filed under: uncultured Lactobacillus sp.
Lineage: Bacteria; Bacillati; Bacillota; Bacilli; Lactobacillales; Lactobacillaceae
Description: bacterial SSU rRNA
Rfam family: Bacterial small subunit ribosomal RNA
Source: RNAcentral